This 960-nucleotide long non-coding RNA is filed under the name Equus caballus (horse). RNAcentral describes it as "lncRNA (ENSECAG00000058958.1)". The record is from RNAcentral. Lineage: Eukaryota; Metazoa; Chordata; Mammalia; Perissodactyla; Equidae.
AGCUGGCUUAAUUCCCCUCCUCUUGAUGGGGUACUGGCCUUAGUGACAAACAGAAUAUGAUGAAAACAAAGGGCAUGACGCUGGAGACCAGGUCAUAGAGGGCAUUGAGGCUUCCUCCUUGCCCUGUUGCCUGAAUCACUCACUCUGGGCAAAGCAGUGGCCAUCUUGUGAGAUAAUUUCAAGAGGGCACUCAAGCCAUCCUAUGGAGAGGCCCAUCUGGUGAGGAACAGAAGGUUCCAGACAACAGCCCACAAGAAUAACUGAGGCCUUCAGUCAAGAACCAAAUGACGCUGUCAGGAGUCUUCCAGAUCAUAAUUGGAAUGCCAUCUGGGUUAGGAUCUCCUAUGGAUAGAUAAACACAACAAGAGGGCAAAACUUGAUCAAGGCAACCCUCCAUAUUGGUAACUUACGGUCAAAUUUCAAAAAUUCAAAAUCAUGAUCUGUCAAGAGGAAGAAGGAAAAUUGAAAAUCUUCUUAGCUGAUGCCUCACAGGGUCUGAGUGCUGCUGGCAAUGCGACAGCAAAAGGGGAGGAUUAAGCACUGCCUGGUACAUAAUAUCAGAAGUCCUGAAAGGAAGUGAAAAUCAAGCUUUCUGUAUAGGAUCAGUAAAUUUCUGGAUUUCCAACUGAGCUUCUCUGUUUCAGGGAAUAAAUUACUGAUUCCAAACCACUCUCUAGAUCUUUGUGACCUUUGGUAACAUCCCUUGAUCCCUUGUUAUUGGCUAAAGCCUGGAAAGAAAAAUUCUGAAAGGCAAAUAAUAGCAAAGACUAAGAACAUGGGGUCUGGCUACUUUUUUCAUCCCACUGAUUUUUCCUCAGUAGCAACCUCAUGUGCAGCUGACCUCAUGGUCUAUUCUCAUUUCUCCUCUGACAGAAAUCUUUUGCUCAAUUUCCAUUCUAGAACAUCUCUGAUUCUUUCCUCUAGGCUUCACUUAAUCACUGAGCCCAAAAGGUACUAAAU